This 212-nucleotide unclassified non-coding RNA is filed under the name Hevea brasiliensis (rubber tree). The record is from RNAcentral. Lineage: Eukaryota; Viridiplantae; Streptophyta; Magnoliopsida; Malpighiales; Euphorbiaceae.
GUUAUUAAUGGUAAAAUCUAGGGAUUACAUGGUAAAUUUCCCUUCAAUUUAUAUAUUAUGCUUGUUUAAAAUAAUUUUGCUCAGAUUAUUAUAAUUAGUUUUUAGAAUUAACUUUAUUUAUAGAUUUCUUUUAUGAUUUAUUUCAUAAAAUUAAUGUGUGAAAUAAAUAGUAGAAUUAUUUUUAUUUAAUUAUUUUCAAAUUUAAAAUUUUU